RNAcentral lists this unclassified non-coding RNA (245 nucleotides) under Paraeutypella citricola. Its description in RNAcentral is "Eutypella citricola partial internal transcribed spacer region". The stretch from base 1 to 46 matches the Rfam family "Eukaryotic small subunit ribosomal RNA", at positions 1786 to 1831 of the family's 1831-position model. The record is from RNAcentral. Lineage: Eukaryota; Fungi; Ascomycota; Sordariomycetes; Xylariales; Diatrypaceae.
AAGUCGUAACAAGGUCUCCGUUGGUGAACCAGCGGAGGGAUCAUUAAAGAGUAGUUUUUACAACAACUCCAAACCCAUGUGAACUUACCUAUGUUGCCUCGGCGGGGAAACUACCCGGUAGCUACCCUGUAGUUACCCUGUAAGGACUACUCGUCGACGGACCAUCAAACUCUGUUUUUCUAUGAAACUUCUGAGUGUUUUAACUUAAUAAAUUAAAACUUUCAACAACGGAUCUCUUGGUUCUG